CACGCCGCCGCGCGGCCCCACGGGGGUCACGGGCAGGAACGGAGUCGCGUCGGGCCUGCGGCGGCCACGGCGGAUCUCAAAGAUGAUGGCGCCGAUGACCACGGUGAGCAACAUGGCGGCCACGAUGGACCCUAUGAUGCCGCCCACGAUCCAGCCCCAAGGGACCGAUCGCCGCGGCGGCGCAGACACGACGCCCGCGGCGACCUCGGGUGGCGCUGCGACGACGGCGGUGGUCUGUUUGACGGGUACGGACAUGGCAGGCGUUGGCUGUUUUUUUUUCCUGCGCCUCUCUCUUUCUUUUCUCCCCUUCCCUUUUGCCCCGUCCGGGUCGCAGUGGGCGAGGGCCGACGGACCCAUUCACCGCACGCCAGGCCGCCUCGACCGCACUCCACGUGGCGUCGCCGAUCCCCUUCCUCGUCCCCCACAAGCGCCGGUCAGCGGCGACGACAACAGUGGCAAACAGUGUCUUUUGUCUGACCCCUCGCCAUCUUUGAUUCCCCCUUUUUUUGUUUUUCCUCUAUUUGUCUUUUGCCUUUUUUUUUUACCACACGCAGUCGGCUGCCGGUCGGUGUUGUGCCAACAGGACCCGUCCCCCAUUUUUUUUUGCGAAAAUGCAUGCCCACAAC
Molecule: long non-coding RNA, 626 nt
Filed under: Pandoravirus dulcis
Description: putative ncRNA
Source: RNAcentral